Molecule: ribosomal RNA, 497 nt
Filed under: uncultured bacterium
Lineage: Bacteria
Description: partial 16S ribosomal RNA
Rfam family: Bacterial small subunit ribosomal RNA
Source: RNAcentral
GACGAACGCUGGCGGCGUGCCUAAUACAUGCAAGUUGAGCGCUGAAGGUUGGUACUUGUACCAACUGGAUGAGCAGCGAACGGGUGAGUAACGCGUGGGGAAUCUGCCUUUGAGCGGGGGACAACAUUUGGAAACGAAUGCUAAUACCGCAUAAAAACUUUAAACACAAGUUUUAAGUUUGAAAGAUGCAAUUGCAUCACUCAAAGAUGAUCCCGCGUUGUAUUAGCUAGUUGGUGAGGUAAAGGCUCACCAAGGCGAUGAUACAUAGCCGGCCUGAGAGGGUGAUCGGCCACAUUGGGACUGAGACACGGCCCAAACUCCUACGGGAGGCGGCAGUAGGGAAUCUUCGGCAAUGGACGAAAGUCUGACCGAGCAACGCCGCGUGAGUGAAGAAGGUUUUCGGAUCGUAAAACUCUGUUGGUAGAGAAGAACGUUGGUGAGAGUGGAAAGCUCAUCAAGUGACGGUAACUACCCAGAAAGGGACGGCUAACUACGUG